RNAcentral lists this ribosomal RNA (465 nucleotides) under uncultured bacterium. RNAcentral describes it as "partial 16S ribosomal RNA". It matches the Rfam family "Bacterial small subunit ribosomal RNA", at positions 338 to 795 of the family's 1533-position model. The record is from RNAcentral.
CCUACGGGUGGCAGCAGUAGGGAAUUUUCGUCAAUGGGCGCAAGCCUGAACGAGCAAUGCCGCGUGAACGAGGAAGGUCUUCGGAUCGUAAAGUUCUGUUAAAGGGGAGAAAGAGCGGAGAGAGGAAAUGGUCUCCGAUUGAUAUUACCCUUCGAGGAAGUACCGGCUAACUACGUGCCAGCAGCCGCGGUAAUACGGAGGUGGCGAGCGUUAUCCGGAAUGAUUGGGCGUAAAGGGGACGUAGGCGGCCUGGUAAGUCUGGUGUGAAAGGUACCGGCUCAACCGGGGAAAGGCUUGGGAAACUGGCGGGCUAGAGAGUCGGAAAGGGCGGUGGAACUCCAGGUGUAGCGGUAAAAUGCGUAGAGAUAUGGAAGAAUACCAGUGGCGAAGGCGGCCGCCUGGACUGUUACUGACGCUGAGGUACGAAAGCGUGGGGAGCAAAUAGGAUUAGAUACCCUAGUAGUC